This 253-nucleotide ribosomal RNA is filed under the name uncultured bacterium. RNAcentral describes it as "partial 16S ribosomal RNA". It matches the Rfam family "Bacterial small subunit ribosomal RNA", at positions 524 to 776 of the family's 1533-position model. The record is from RNAcentral.
UACGUAGGCAGCAAGCGUUGUUCGGAGUUACUGGGCGUAAAGGGUGUGUAGGCGGUUCUUUAAGUUUGCUGUGAAAUCUCCUGGCUUAACUGGGAGGGUGCGCCGAAUACUGGCGGGCUUGAGUAUUGGAGAGGAAAGCGGAAUUCCUGGUGUAGCGGUGAAAUGCGUAGAUAUCAGGAGGAACACCGGUGGUGUAGACGGCUUUCUGGACAAUCACUGACGCUGAGGUACGAAAGCGUGGGUAGCAAACAGG